GUAGGCGGACCUGUAAGUCWGUGGUGAAAUCUCAUAGCUUAACUAUGAAACUGCCAUUGAUACUGCAGGWCUUGAGUAAAUUUGAAGUGGCUGGAAUAAGUAGUGUAGCGGUGAAAUGCAUAGAUAUUACUUAGAACACCAAUUGCGAAGGCAGGUCACUAAGAUUUAACUGACGCUGAUGGACGAAAGCGUGGGUAGCGAACAGGAUUAGAUACCCUGGUAGUCCACSCCGUAAACGAUGCUAACUCGUUUUUGGAUUUUCGGAUUCAGAGACCAAGCGAAAGUGAUAAGUUAGCCACCUGG
RNAcentral lists this ribosomal RNA (303 nucleotides) under Chryseobacterium sp. Its description in RNAcentral is "bacterial SSU rRNA". Lineage: Bacteria; Pseudomonadati; Bacteroidota; Flavobacteriia; Flavobacteriales; Weeksellaceae. The record is from RNAcentral.